UGCGAACUCCUACGGGAGGCAGCAGUGAGGAAUAUUGGUCAAUGGGCGGAAGCCUGAACCAGCCAAGUAGCGUGCAGGAUGACGGCCCUAUGGGUUGUAAACUGCUUUUAUGCGGGGAUAACCGGGGCCACGCGUGGCCCCCUGCAGGUACCGCAUGAAUAAGGACCGGCUAAUUCCGUGCCAGCAGCCGCGGUAAUACGGAAGGUCCGGGCGUUAUCCGGAUUCAUUGGGUUUAAAGGGAGCGUAGGCCGUGGAUUAAGCGUGUUGUGAAAUGUAGGCGCUCAACGUCUGACUUGCAGCGCGAACUGGUCCACUUGAGUGUGCGCGACGCAGGCGGAAUUCGUGGUGUAGCGGUGAAAUGCUUAGAUAUCACGAGGAACCCCGAUUGCGAAGGCAGCUUGCGGGAGCACGACUGACGCUGAGGCUCGAAGGUGCGGGUAUCGAACAGGAUUAGAUACCCUUGUAGUCCU
RNAcentral lists this ribosomal RNA (470 nucleotides) under uncultured bacterium. Its description in RNAcentral is "bacterial SSU rRNA". It matches the Rfam family "Bacterial small subunit ribosomal RNA", at positions 330 to 797 of the family's 1533-position model. The record is from RNAcentral.